This 524-nucleotide ribosomal RNA is filed under the name Halomonas caseinilytica. RNAcentral's name for it is "bacterial SSU rRNA". It matches the Rfam family "Bacterial small subunit ribosomal RNA", at positions 37 to 543 of the family's 1533-position model. The record is from RNAcentral. Lineage: Bacteria; Pseudomonadati; Pseudomonadota; Gammaproteobacteria; Oceanospirillales; Halomonadaceae.
GGGCGGGGACCCCCUACACAUGCAAGUCCGAGCGGGAACAAGCCCAGCUUGCUGGCCGGUGUCGAGCGGCGGACGGGUGAUUAAUGCAUAGGAAUCUGCCCGAUAGUGGGGGAUAACCUGAGGAAACUCAGGCUAAUACCGCAUACGUCCUACGGGAGAAAGCAGGGUCCCUUCCCACCUUGCGCUUUCGCAUGAGCUUAUGUCGCAUUAUCUGGUUGGUGAGGUUCUGCCUCACCAAGGCCCCGAUCUGGACCGGGACUGAGAGGAUGAUCAUCCACAUCGAGACUGAGACACAGCUCGUACUCCUACCGGAGGCAGCAAUGGGGAAUAUUGGACAAUGGGGGCAACCCUGAUCCACCCAUGCCGCGUGUAAGAAGAAGGCCCUCGGGUUGCUAGCAAUUACAAUGAGGAAGAAAGGUUGUCGGUUAAUACCCAGCAAGGACGACAUCCCUCGAAGAAGAAGCACCGUCCAACUCCGUGCCAGCAGCCGCGGUAAGGCGGAGGGUGCUAGCGUUAAUACUGGG